GGGGUCGUAGCGAAGCCAGGCAUCGCAACGGGCUCCAGAUCUAACAACAAAUGGGCUAGUUAGAGAAAGAAACCCGUGGGUCAAGGGUUCAAAUGGCUGCGGUUAAUCCCGCGCCAGGACAAAUCCCUUCGGCCCCA
RNAcentral lists this transfer RNA (137 nucleotides) under Nitrososphaera viennensis EN76. It matches the Rfam family "tRNA". From Rfam's summary of the family: Transfer RNA (tRNA) molecules are approximately 80 nucleotides in length. Their secondary structure includes four short double-helical elements and three loops (D, anti-codon, and T loops). The record is from Rfam by way of RNAcentral. Lineage: Archaea; Thermoproteati; Nitrososphaerota; Nitrososphaeria; Nitrososphaerales; Nitrososphaeraceae.